UCUCUGGUAGUAUAUCGGAUAGUACAGCCGCCUGUCAUACAAGAUCCACUUUGGUCAGUCGGCGCGCGGCAGAGCUGGGUUCGACUCCCAGCCAGAGAG
Hydnomerulius pinastri MD-312 is the source of this 99-nucleotide non-coding RNA. The record is from the annotation of a GenBank genome assembly. NCBI's taxonomy places the organism in Eukaryota, Fungi, Basidiomycota, Agaricomycetes, Boletales.